Long non-coding RNA from Apis mellifera (honey bee), 2511 nucleotides. RefSeq lists it as uncharacterized. The record is from RefSeq and is a predicted model, not a curated record. The transcript has 8 exons. Lineage: Eukaryota; Metazoa; Arthropoda; Insecta; Hymenoptera; Apidae.
UCUAUUCGAUGAUCGAUCAACACAGUGCUUUGAUGUUGAUGGAGAAGAAAAAAAAGAAAAACUGUCUCUCUCUCGACGAGAGAGGUUAAAUUUAUACAGGCAAGUUCUGUUUAACAGGAGAGAGAGAGGAGGGGGAGGGGAGCAGGUUAGGGGAACAGAUUUCUGGCGAGAUUCGAGCGAAUUCGAGGCGAUCGUGCGGGCGAGGACAAAGUGGGGACAAAGCUUUGGAACGAAUUUGACAACUUUAUUGGACCGGAUCCAACCAACCUUUCCUUCUUCGCGGUUUUCUAUAUAUGCGCGCCACGUAUAUCGUACAAACUACCACUCUCCGAUAUUCCACAAGUAACGAAAUCAUACUUGUGGAUAAUUAUCGAAGUGGAAGCCACCAAAUGGGCCAUCAUUUUGUAAUUAAUGAUAAUGAAACGAAGUUCUGAAUGAAUAUUGAAUAUUUCUUAAUGACGUAAGACAGUUUCCAGAGAGAAGUCAAUGAAGACUGGAUUAUGUAAUGAAAUCAUCGAGGAUAAUUAUCAGAGUGGAAGCCACAAAGUGGGCCAUCAUUUUGUAAUUACUGAUAAUGAUAAUGAAACGAAGUUCUGAAUGAAUAUUGAAUAUUUCUUAAUGACGUAAGAAUAUUUUCUUUUUCCUGAUAGUUUCCAGAGAGAAGUCAAUGAAGAUUGGAUUAUGGUAAUUAUAUGUACGUAUCUUUCUAUAUAUAUAUUUUCAUUGUCAUUGAAAUUUUUGAAAUUUUCACAUUUCAAAGUAACGAAAUCAUACGGAUAAUUAUCAAAGUGGAAGCCACCAAGUUGUAAUUAAUGAUCGCUAAUGAUAAUGAAAUGAAGUUCUGAAUGAACACUGAAUAUUUCUUAAUAAUGUAAGACAGUUUUUCCUGACAGUUUCCAGAGAGAAGUCAAUGAAGACUAUGUAUCAUCGAAAUCAUCGAGCAUACGGAUAAUUAUCAAAGUGGAAGCCACAAAGUGAGCCAUCAUUUUGUAAUUAAUGAUCGCUAAUGAUAAUGAAAUGAAGUUCUGAAUGAAUACUGAAUUUCUUAAUGACGUAACGAAAUUAUACGGAUAAUUAUCAGAGUGGAAGCCAUAAAAGAGAAGCGUUCUCCUGGAGGAAGUCAAUGAAGACUGGAUUAUUGUAAUUAGAUUUUCCAGAGAGAAGUCAUUGAAGAGUGGAUUAUUGUAAUUAUACGUACAUAUCUUUCUAUAUAUAUAUUUUUUCAUUGUCAUCGAAAUUUUCUUCACAUUCAAAUGAAAUCAUCAAGCAUACGGAUAAUUAUCAAAAUGGAAGCCACAAUUAAUGAUAAUGAAACGAAGUUCUGAACACUGAAUAUUAUCUAAGGACGUAAGAAUAUUUCCUUUCUUCUGAUAGAGAGAAGCGUUCUUCUGGAGGACAUCAAUGGAGGCUGGAUCAUCGUAAUUACAUUAACGAAAUCAUCGAGCAUACGAAUAAUUAUCAAAGUGGAUUCACAAAGUGGGCCAUCAUUUUGUAAUUAAUGAUAAUGAUCAAAACGAAGUUCUGAAUACUGAAUAUUUCUUAAUGACGUAAGACAGUUUCUCCUGAUAAAGAGAAGCAUUUUCCUGAAGGACGAAUGCUCGAGAUUGGAUUAUCAUAAUUACAUAUACGUAUCUUUCUAUGUAUAUUUUUAUUAUCAUCGAAAUUUUCUUCUUGCAACAGAUUUGAUCCCUCUUGAUUCAUUUUAAAAAUAUUAUACUUAUACUUUGUUAAAAAUUUCAAGAAAGAGUAUUGAUUUAAUAAUAAAUUACAUUUUUAAUAUUAUCUUUAACUCCAUCCAGUGUUGUAAUAAAUUACUCAUUGAAAAGGUAAUUUAGAAAAAAUUAACAUUAAACCAUUUUCCAUUCGAAGUCUUAAACAUCUACUUUACUAGAGAUUUACUUUCGAAGAAAAAGUAUCACUGUAUUAACAAUACCAUUAUAUCUCUCUAUCCAUUAAUUUAUCUAAUUAAGAAAAUCUGACAACGGUCAUUAAAUCCAAAGAAAUUAAUAAAAUUCACGAUUCCUUCGCGAAAAAAAUACAUCCAUUUUCCCCCAAAUUUGAAACAUCAAAUUUUCACUCUCAAUCCCAACCAACAACUACAAUGAAACCAAGUUAGAUCCUUCUGACUCGCAGACACAACACCCGACCAUAUCUCGAACAAUAACAACUGAUAAUAUUCGACCUCGAUACUCGAGUUCGUUCUCAACGGAGAAAGAACACGAAUAAAUUUACCAAGAACAUGAGAGAGAGAGAAGAAUUGGAUUAAGCAAGAAGGAGGAAGUAGAGCAGUCGAUGGACGGACGGACAGACGUUGCUAAUUGACUCUCCUCCACUUCUCGAUUUUUUUUCUCCAUUACACCACGAUGCUUUCCUGCUCGUCGAAACGCGCCCCUUCAUUCUUCUUCUCGACGAAGAUUGCGCGUUUCCCGCGAUGUCAGCUGAUCGUUUUUACGCUCAAAAAGAGUUUAAGAGAGAGAAUGAAGUGAUAAAAAUGAUAUCGAUAAAUAAAUA